AAAUUACAAAGGACAGUGAUUAUCCUAAUUUGUUGGCGAUGGAUGAUGACGAUGGUGUGGAGGACAGUGGAUUCUCAAGCAGCUUCUUACCGGAGCCCCUAAUCCACCACAUAUUCUCCUUCUUGCCUUUCCGGGAAGUCGUGAAGGCGGCUGCAGUGUGCAAGUCAUGGGCUCUGGCGUCCUCUUCUUUCCCGAUCCUCGACAUCAACACUGAUGAUUUUGUUGGCAAAUAAAGUUGCAGUUACUGCAGUACUAUCAAUUAGCCCUCCGUUAAUCAGGGAAAGGCUCGAGAGAAUGGCAGAGUUUGUGGAUGAGACCAUAACGAGAUUUCAACAGCAACGGUUAAAGAUAGACAAGCUCAAAUUCGACUUUCGGCAUUGCCUCCAGGAUGCCACCAAUGAUUGGGUCCGUCUGGUCAACAAAUGCAUAGGUAUUGCUCUCGAUAACAAUGUCGAAGAGAUAAGCCUUGUUUGUAGAUAUGGGAACCUCCCCCCACAUCUGCCGAUAUCAGAAAGGAUUCUCUCCGCCCCGUCGGUUAUUUCCUUGGAAUUAGCAGGUUUGGCUUUGGCUCCUUCCUCUAAUUCAACAAACCUCCAGUCUCUGCGGUCGCUCACUCUCGAACGUAUUUCUGUGGAUGAUGAGACUUUCAAGAGGCUCAUGAGCGCAUGCCACUCGCUCGAGUUUCUCUUUAUGGCACAAUGCACCGGCCUGACUAAAAUCAGGGUCUCUGGUCUUCGUAAUAUCAGGGCGGUUAAUCUUGCUGAAACAUUUUAUCCUGUCGAAAUAGAAGCUCCGAGUCUAGAAAGCUUUCACUACACAUUCUUUCCACUUGAAAUCGAAUCCCGAGUGUUUCUGUGCAUCACAGUCCAUAUCUCAAGAGGUUAGACUUGGUGAAUGUAACCAGAAGCGAUGAAUGGCUCGGAGAAUUCCUCUCUAGGUUCCCGGUGCUGGAAGACUUGGAUCUCAGCUACUGCAGCUCAUUGAGAAGGAUCAGAAUUUUAAAUCCAUUAGUUAAAAGUAUAAACAUUAGUGACUGUUGAGGACUGGCGGACAUCAAUCUCGAGACUCCAGAGCUAAGGUGGUUCAGGCUCUGUGCAAUGAGUCGGGUGUUGAUGCCUCUCAUAUGGACGAAGAAUCCACUGCCAUGUAGCAGCAAGUACUGGAAGGCCGAUCUACUGAUCGGCUCCUCUUGCCUGGUGAAACCAGCUGGUUGGUCUUAUGACCAUCUGAGGGAGCUCCUCGUCGAGUAUUGCAAAAUUUUUAAGUCUCUACGUCUAGAUGUAGCGACUCUGGUGUGCCGCCAUCCGUCCCCAUCAGAUAAGAAAAUUCAUCAAUCAUUUUAUGUCGAUAUUGUUCGUCAGUCUUACCUUUUGUCCUCCAGGAUUUCAGUUUUCGACUUCUUAGGGAAGAAAUCAAUAACAAAGAUAAAUGGGUGGCUUCAUUGGCAUGCAAUCCGAUGCAAUUAGCACCAGCUCCUUAUUAUCGUGAUGCAUCAACCUGCAGGCUAACUGAGGAGUUCACCCCCGAGAUCGACCCAAGUAGUGUAAAUGGCUUGCUUAUGACUCCUCAUCCCACUACUAUAACCGUAGUUGCAGGUUUGUCUGGUGAAGAUUUCUUACAGUUGCUCUGGAAGAAGGUUGCCGAAAGACAAGCUCAUCCUCUUCCGAGGCGCUGUAUCCAUUGUUGGCCAAACAUACUGAAAGAUGCGAAGAUUGAAAUAGUCACCAGAAGCAAUUAUCCAGAAACUAUACACAAGGGAACUUGAUUCCACGACAUUGUAACAUCUUUUAGUUUCAUUCCGUCCUUAGAUAUCACUUUUCUAUUUAGGCGUGGCGUCUGCGCUUUGCACGUUAUCGAUAUAUCUUAAUUUUGCACCCA
Non-coding RNA from Punica granatum (pomegranate), 1878 nucleotides. Lineage: Eukaryota; Viridiplantae; Streptophyta; Magnoliopsida; Myrtales; Lythraceae. The record is from RefSeq and is a predicted model, not a curated record.